UGCCUUGCCAAGGAGCUCAGUCACAGCAGCCCUGUAAUCAAUUGGAUGAACCCGAUAGUGACCUACAACAAAUGAAACGCAUGAAGAGAAUUUGAAAACACGCCAAUAUGAUUGUAUCAAGAGCAUCAGGAGGACAUUAGUCUCUUUCAGUCCAAAAAAAAAAAAUCUAGAAAAAUCGCAUUUAAAAUUUAAUACAUAAAGUUCCAAGUUAAUAAAUGUUACAUAAUACUGUUCCUUCCAAAUAUAAAAGAAAAACAACAGACUUCUCCUAAUGAAAUGUCUGAUCAUUCAAAAUGCCAAAUGGAGAAAGAUGUUACUGUUUCACAGUUUCUAACACAAGGGAGAAAGAUGUUACUGUCAACACAAAUGUAACAUACAAAUGCUUGGCACCAAAAAGAUUAACUUAAAGCAUGAGUACUUGACAGCAGAAGGAUUGAAUCAGAAGCAUCCUUUGUGUUUAACAAUUUUUAGUUUCAUUCAAAGCAUCACCAAGAUAUUUAUACUUUCUACAGGGACAUGACCAAAAUGCAUUCAUGAUUACAAAUAAUUGUUAAAUUUUAGACAGACCUACAUGAGGAGAGCCAUUCACAGUCACAAGUUUUACAUCACCCCCAAGUUGUCGAAGUCUUUUAGUGAAAUUGCAUAUAACUUGAUAUGGAGCAAGAUCAUCACUUUCUGAACACAGAAUGAGAUAUGGGACCCCCAUGCUAACAGAAGAGUACAAAGUCUGCCAAUACUCAGCUCGCAAUGAUUCAAAUCUGUUGAGGAAGACUGCAUCCAAACCAUCACUAAUGACAUUUACCAUCCAUGAUAAAACUCUUGGUGUAUGGGAGAUUUUA
This 839-nucleotide unclassified non-coding RNA is filed under the name Hevea brasiliensis (rubber tree). The record is from RNAcentral. Lineage: Eukaryota; Viridiplantae; Streptophyta; Magnoliopsida; Malpighiales; Euphorbiaceae.